GACGAACGCUGGCGGCGUGCCUAAUACAUGCAAGUCGAACGCAGUGGGGACGGGUGAGUAACACGUGGGUAACCUCCCAUCAGAGGGGAUAACACUUGGAAACAGGUGCUAAACCGAUACUGAUGGAUGGCCCCGCGGUGCAUUAGCUAGGUGGUGAGGUAACGGCUCACCAAGGCCACGAUGCAUAGGCGACCUGAAAGGGUGAUCGGGCAGCCUGGGAGUGAGGUUCGGCCCAGACUCCUACGGGAGGCAGCAGUAGGGAAUCGUCGGCAAUGGACGAAAGGCUGACCGAGCACAGCCGCGUGAGUGAAGAUGGUUUUCGGAUCGUAAAACUCUGUUGUUAGAGAAGCGGUAUCUAACCAGAAAGCCACGGCUAACUACGUGCCAGCAGCCGCGGUAAUUC
Molecule: ribosomal RNA, 403 nt
Filed under: uncultured bacterium
Lineage: Bacteria
Description: partial 16S ribosomal RNA
Rfam family: Bacterial small subunit ribosomal RNA
Source: RNAcentral